Molecule: non-coding RNA, 111 nt
Filed under: mouse gut metagenome
Also listed under: 1 other name
Description: FMN riboswitch (RFN element)
Rfam family: FMN riboswitch aptamer (RFN element)
About the family: The RFN element is a highly conserved domain that is found frequently in the 5'-untranslated regions of prokaryotic mRNAs that encode for flavin mononucleotide (FMN) biosynthesis and transport proteins.
Source: RNAcentral
CAUCUUCAGGGCAGGGUGAAAUUCCCUACCGGCGGUAUAGCCCGCGAGCUGGUAUCAGCAUGACUUGGUGAGAUUCCAAGGCCGACAGUACAGUCUGGAUGGAAGAAGAUG